GAAAUGCGAUAAUUAAUGUGAAUUGCAGAAUUCAGUGAAUCAUCGAGUCUUUGAACGCACAUUGCGCCCCCUGGUAUUCCGGGGGGCAUGCCUGUCCGAGCGUCAUUGCUGCCCUCAAACACGGCUUGUGUGUUGGGCUUCCGUCCCUGGCAACGGGGACGGGCCCAAAAGGCAGUGGCGGCACCAUGUCUGGACCUCGAGCGUAUGGGGCUUUGUCACCCGCUCCCGUAGGUCCAGCUGGCAGCUAGCCUCGCAACCAAUCUUUUUAACCAGGUUGACCUCGGAUCAGGUAUGGAUACCCGCUGAACUUAAGC
Molecule: unclassified non-coding RNA, 314 nt
Filed under: plant metagenome
Description: partial contains 5.8S ribosomal RNA, internal transcribed spacer 2, and large subunit ribosomal RNA
Rfam family: 5.8S ribosomal RNA (bases 1-105)
Source: RNAcentral